Molecule: ribosomal RNA, 305 nt
Filed under: uncultured bacterium
Lineage: Bacteria
Description: bacterial SSU rRNA
Rfam family: Bacterial small subunit ribosomal RNA
Source: RNAcentral
UCCUACGGGGGGCAGCAGUGAGGAAUAUUGGUCAAUGGGCGGGAGCCUGAACCAGCCAAGUCGCGUGAGGGACGACGGUCCUAUGGAUUGUAAACCUCUUUUGUCGGGGAACAAAGGCGCCCACGGGUGGGCGGAUGAGUGUACCCGAAGAAAAAGCAUCGGCUAACUCCGUGCCAGCAGCCGCGGUAAUACGGAGGAUGCGAGCGUUAUCCGGAUUUAUUGGGUUUAAAGGGUGCGUAGGCGGAAUAUCAAGUCAGCGGUAAAAAUUCGGGGCUCAACCCCGUCGUGCCGUUGAAACUGAUGUU